CUUUACUGCAACUUGACGUUGGAACUUGGCUGUAUUUGUGUAGGAUAGGUGGGAGACUUUGAAGUAGUGCCGCCAGGUAUUACUGAGUCGUCGUUGAAAUACCACCCUGGUGCUGACGAGUUUCUAACCGCACCCGUAAGCCGGGUGUGAGACAUCGUCUGGUGGGCAGUUUGACUGGGGCGGUCGCCUCCUAAAAGGUAACGGAGGCAUUCAAAGGUUCCCUCAGCGUGGUCGGUAAUCACGCGAAGAGUGCAAACGCAUAAGGGAGCUUAACUGCGAGACCGACAGGUCGAGCAGGUACGAAAGUAGGAGUUAGUGAUCCCGCGGUUUAGCGUGGAAUUGCCGUUGCUCAAUGGAUAAAAGGUA
This 366-nucleotide ribosomal RNA is filed under the name uncultured organism. RNAcentral describes it as "bacterial LSU rRNA". It matches the Rfam family "Bacterial large subunit ribosomal RNA", at positions 2099 to 2465 of the family's 2925-position model. The record is from RNAcentral.